AAAACUAACCUGAGUUAGUAAUAUCUAAUUAAAUUAUAUUAACAAUAAUAUUUUAAUAAUUCAUAUAAAAAAUAUGAGAAAGGACCUAAACAAACAAGCUAUUACAUAGAAAAAAAAAUCAUAGGGAAUUCAAAACGUAAAUUAAAAGUGUGUUUGUAAAGAAUUAUACAUUUAAACUAAAAUUUUACUAAUUUUUUCUGA
RNAcentral lists this long non-coding RNA (201 nucleotides) under Salvia miltiorrhiza (redroot sage). RNAcentral describes it as "long non-coding RNA (SMIL_LNC010849)". Lineage: Eukaryota; Viridiplantae; Streptophyta; Magnoliopsida; Lamiales; Lamiaceae. The record is from RNAcentral.